RNAcentral lists this ribosomal RNA (468 nucleotides) under uncultured bacterium. Its description in RNAcentral is "partial 16S ribosomal RNA". It matches the Rfam family "Bacterial small subunit ribosomal RNA", at positions 28 to 507 of the family's 1533-position model. The record is from RNAcentral.
GACGAACGCUGGCGGCGUGCUUAACACAUGCAAGUCGAACGGAAGGGCCCUGCUUUUGUGGGGUGCUCGAUUGGGGAACGGGUGAGAAACACGUGAGUAACCUGCCCUUAACUUUGGGAUAACUCCAGGAAACUGGGGCUAUUACCGGAGAGGAGCUCCUGCGCCAUGUGGGGGGUAGGAAAGUUUCGGCGGUGGGGGAUGGACUCGAGGCUUAUCAGCUUGUUGGUGGGGUAGUGGCUGACAAAGCCUUUGACGGGUAGCCGGCCUGAGAGGGUGAACGGCGACAAUGGGACUGAGAUACGGACCAGACUCCUACGGGCGGCAGCAGUGGGGAAUAUUGCACAAUGGGCGGAAGCCUGAUGCAGCAACGCCGCGUGCGGGAUGACGGCCUUCGGGUUGUAAACCGCUUUCGCCUGUGACGAAGCGUGAGUGACGGUAAUGGGUAAAGAAGCACCGGCUAACUACGUG